GGGGGCGAUACGGUCUCGACGUCGGUAUCAAAGCAAAAGGUGCAUGCCGAGAGAGUAGCGGCUCUCGCUAAACAAUCGCUGCAAACCUAUAGUUGCCAACGACGACAACUACGCACUAGCGGCCUAAAACCCCGCUAACGCCGAUGAUCCCUCGCCUGCGGGGUGAAAUCGGCGGCAAAGACAGCAGGAUCGCGCUUUCGCCCACGCCCGGGGUCGGCAGCGUCAAACCUUUCCGGGCUCGCCAACAGCGCCCUGGCCGCCGGGCCGCUUG
This 271-nucleotide transfer-messenger RNA is filed under the name Gammaproteobacteria bacterium. RNAcentral describes it as "partial transfer-messenger RNA". It matches the Rfam family "transfer-messenger RNA", at positions 1 to 286 of the family's 374-position model. Rfam says of the family: Bacterial tmRNA, also known as 10Sa RNA or SsrA, is named for its dual tRNA and mRNA-like properties. Its role is to liberate the mRNA from a stalled ribosome. To accomplish this part of the tmRNA is used as a reading frame that ends in a translation stop signal. The record is from RNAcentral. Lineage: Bacteria; Pseudomonadati; Pseudomonadota; Gammaproteobacteria.